CGGCGAGUGAAGCGGGAAGAGCUCAAAUUUGAAAUCUGGCGGUCUCAGGCCGUCCGAGUUGUAAUCUAGAGAGGUGUUUUCCGUGCCGGACCGUGUACAAGUCCCUUGGAACAGGGCGUCAUAGAGGGUGAGAAUCCCGUCCAUGACACGGACUCCCGGUGCUCUGCGAUACACCUUCAAAGAGUCGAGUUGUUUGGGAAUGCAGCUCAAAACGGGUGGUAAAUUCCAUCUAAAGCUAAAUACAGGCGAGAGACCGAUAGCGAACAAGUACCGUGAGGGAAAGAUGAAAAGGACUUUGGAAAGAGAGUUAAACAGUACGUGAAAUUGUUGAAAGGGAAACGCUUGAAGUCAGUCGCGUCCGCCAGGACUCAGCCUUGCUUUUGCUCGGUGCACUUCCUGGUGGAUGGGCCAGCAUCGAUUUUGGUCGCCGGAAAAGGGCGGGAGGAAUGUGGCAGCUUGCUGUGUUAUAGCCUCUCGUCGUACACGGUGACCGGGAUCGAGGACUGCAGCACGCCUUUUUGGUCGGGGUUCGCCCACGCCACGUGCUUAGGAUGCUGGCGUAAUGGCUUUAAACGACCCGUCUUGAAACACGGACCAAGGAGUCUAACAUGCCUGCGAGUGUUUGGGUGUUAAACCCAGGCGCGUAAUGAAAGUGAAAAGUUGGGACUCUUUAGUGAGGCACCGACGCCCGAUCCUGACGUUCUCUGACGGAUUUGAGGCAGAGCAUGUAUGUUGGGACCCGAAAGAUGGUGAACUAUGCCUGAAUAGGGUGAAGCCAGAGGAAACUCUGGUGGAGGCUCGUAGCGAUUCUGACGUGCAAAUCGAUCGUCAAAUUUGGGUAUAGGGGCGA
Molecule: ribosomal RNA, 850 nt
Filed under: Exidiopsis effusa
Lineage: Eukaryota; Fungi; Basidiomycota; Agaricomycetes; Auriculariales; Exidiaceae
Description: eukaryotic LSU rRNA
Rfam family: Eukaryotic large subunit ribosomal RNA
Source: RNAcentral